CCUACGGGAGGCAGCAGUGAGGAAUAUUGGUCAAUGGGCGCGAGCCUGAACCAGCCAAGUAGCGUGAAGGAUGACUGCCCUACGGGUUGUAAACUUCUUUUAUAAAGGAAUAAAGUGCGGGACGUGUCCCGUUUUGUAUGUACCUUAUGAAUAAGGAUCGGCUAACUCCGUGCCAGCAGCCGCGGUAAUACGGAGGAUCCGAGCGUUAUCCGGAUUUAUUGGGUUUAAAGGGUGCUUAGGCGGCCUUUUAAGUCAGCGGUGAAAGUCUGUGGCUCAACCAUAGAAUUGCCGUUGAAACUGGGAGGCUUGAGUAUGUUUGAGGCAGGCGGAAUGCGUGGUGUAGCGGUGAAAUGCUUAGAUAUCACGCAGAACCCCGAUUGCGAAGGCAGCCUGCCAAGCCAUGACUGACGCUGAUGCACGAAAGCGUGGGGAUCAAACAGGAUUAGAUACCCUAGUAGUC
RNAcentral lists this ribosomal RNA (460 nucleotides) under uncultured bacterium. RNAcentral describes it as "partial 16S ribosomal RNA". It matches the Rfam family "Bacterial small subunit ribosomal RNA", at positions 338 to 795 of the family's 1533-position model. The record is from RNAcentral.